GAUGCGCCUGGCGCAUCCAUCAGUCGGAAUAAGAUGUGAUAGUCCACUGGGAGACGGUGGGCCCGGCCGCAAGGUUGGGAUAUGUGUACCGGGUGUUAGCCGGAGCAUGCUAUUCGUCUGUUGGGCUGUCUAGCCAGUGCACUUUCUCUGUGGGGAACACCACGACCGGUGGAAUUGCCAGUCUGCUGUAGCUAAGUCUUGCUGAGAGGGUCCUUGUGGCCAACUUGGUGAGAUCACAGGCAAUGUCAGUGUACGGCGUGGGAGUGCCUUUGGUGUUCCUACGUGUUAUCGGGUGCUGCUUGUCAACGGGCCUGCUCGGUGGUUGUUGUAACUGCCAUUGGGUGGUCCGGUGGGCUAUGGUGGUAAGAAUAACUGUGCAAGGCACUGGAGUUGUCGGCCUCAAAUGCGCUCUGCACUGGCAUGUUACAAGUGCGUGGGGGUGCCAUUGCGGUCUGCCUGUUGUUGAGUCUGAUUGUCGUGUCGCCUGCGCAAAGUAGGCCCGGCAGUGGCUUGAUGCAGGAUGGGCUGUGGAUGGUGUCUCUCAGGUGUGGAGUGCGGUGGGCCUAAAAGUCAGUGGUGCAGUGGUAGACGAGCUACCCGACCCGUCUUGAAACACGGACCAAGGAGUUUAACAUGUAUGCGAGUCAAGGGGUCCUACGAAACCCAAAGGCGCAGUGAAAGUAAAGCUUCGACUUGUUCUCGGAGUGAGGUGAGAUCCUGCCGUGACUCGCAUCGCUUGGUGUCAGCAUCAGGCAAAGAGCGGUAGGCGCAUCACCGGCCCGUCCCAUGAUGUGGUCAUUGGAUGUCUGCGGU
Molecule: ribosomal RNA, 813 nt
Filed under: Scyphophyllidium exiguum
Lineage: Eukaryota; Metazoa; Platyhelminthes; Cestoda; Phyllobothriidea; Phyllobothriidae
Description: partial large subunit ribosomal RNA
Source: RNAcentral